GGAAACGCUACCACAAAUCCGAUUGUAAAGAUUCAAAUCUUCAGAUAUUUCCUCCAUUUGUACCAUAGCGCAAGAUUUUCGCUGCUUCCGACCCUCUUCGCGCGUUGAUGGGUGUUGAUCCUAGUAUUAGAGUUA
Molecule: non-coding RNA, 135 nt
Organism: Cajanus cajan (pigeon pea)
Lineage: Eukaryota; Viridiplantae; Streptophyta; Magnoliopsida; Fabales; Fabaceae
Source: RefSeq, a predicted model, not a curated record